Elaeis guineensis (African oil palm) is the source of this 947-nucleotide non-coding RNA. The record is from RefSeq and is a predicted model, not a curated record. NCBI's taxonomy places the organism in Eukaryota, Viridiplantae, Streptophyta, Magnoliopsida, Arecales, Arecaceae.
UGAAGGAGAGAUCAUCAAGGCUAAUGGGAGAAGAGAGAGAGUACAGCCUCACUCUCAUGAUGGUGGGGUGAUGGAGAGCUGUACCCUCUCCCUUCUUCUCUUGGCUUUUGAUGAAGGCAAUAUGUCAGUAUUGCAUGGCAUUGUUGUUCUUAAUUUUCUUUCGUUAGAUAUCUAUCUUUCGACUCCUGCAUGAAUAUAAAUGAAACAAGCAAGCUGUUGCUCUGUUUUUUGGUCUCACCAGCUUUGAUGAGCUUCAACCCAUAUUGUGAUUGUUCGCGAUUGUUUACAGCUUAUAUCACAACACUUACAAUUUAUGUUCAUGUUCUCUUCUUUUCUUUUUUGGAUUCCUUUUUUUUCUUUUUUUGGUUACUAAACAAAGAGCAGCUUAUUUGUCUAGUUUGAAAGUACUCAUAAUACUGGACCAGGAUGGAGUGGAUGGUUCCUCUGAACUUUUCUUUCUCCGAGGAGAUGGAUUGGAGCAUAUGAUAUACCCAAGGUUGGGGAUCAGCAUUUGGAUGUAUAGUAAAACAUGGGUCAUCAUUUCAACAUACGAUGCAUCCAGCCACCAAGUUGGCCAUGUAGACAAUGGUUUUGGCUUAGUGAAUGGAAAAAAUAAUAAGUGUAAUAGGCAAAGGAGGACGACCAUCUCCAAUGCCAUGAAAUCUACACUAGAUUCUGGCGGUUAAUCACCUUAGGUUCGUCUAUCCCUCAAAAUACCUCUUACACAAGAUCAGCCUAAUUUCCACCACUGAAGUCAUGAACAUGGAUUCAAUCUCUAUCAAUAUAGUCCUUUGUUUAUUUUAUUCACUUCAAACAGAAUCAGAUGCAUUUCUGGAUAUAAGUAUAUGAAUAAUGAUGCUUUAAUAGUUUCUUGUUUUCUGUAAGGCAAAAUUCUUGUAACAUAAGAGAAUAUUAUGUCGAAAAAUCUAGGGAAUUUGUUUUAGUUC